UCAUAAACAGUGAAAAGGAAUAGUAGAAAGAACCAUGUUUUAGAGAGCGUAUGGCUGGUGAAAAUACGUACAGAAGCUUUUGAACUCGCCUUUGAGUUAUUUUACUGAACAAAUGAAAGAAGUACAGGGGAACUCUGUCAUUUCUUUUCAUUCUAAUUAAGUAAGAUCGGUGACGGCCGUUAUAACGUUUGAGGCUUGUAUAAUACAAGUGAACUUAGGUGGUACCACGUUGCUUAUCAAACGUCCUAUAG
Molecule: non-coding RNA, 251 nt
Filed under: Enterococcus sp.
Lineage: Bacteria; Bacillati; Bacillota; Bacilli; Lactobacillales; Enterococcaceae
Description: T-box sequence
Rfam family: T-box leader
About the family: Uncharged tRNA acts as the effector for transcription antitermination of genes in the T-box leader family. T-boxes are found upstream of many aminoacyl-tRNA synthetase genes and some amino acid biosynthetic genes usually in Gram-positive bacteria.
Source: RNAcentral